UAACCCACGUGUGCUGAUCAUGCAUUGAA
This 29-nucleotide non-coding RNA is filed under the name Rattus norvegicus (Norway rat). The record is from RNAcentral. Lineage: Eukaryota; Metazoa; Chordata; Mammalia; Rodentia; Muridae.